Molecule: ribosomal RNA, 226 nt
Filed under: Tardigrada environmental sample
Lineage: Eukaryota; Metazoa; Tardigrada
Description: partial 18S ribosomal RNA
Rfam family: Eukaryotic small subunit ribosomal RNA
Source: RNAcentral
UGACUUAUCAGCUUGUUGUUAGGUUAUGUUCCUAACAAGGCUAUUACGGGUGACGGGGAUCAGGGUCCGAUACCGGAGAGGGAGCCUGAGAAACGGCUACCACAUCCAAGGAAGGCAGCAGGCGCGCAAAUUACCCUCUAGGGCACGGGGAGGUAGGCGAAAAAUAACCCCCUAUAGGUUUGCCUCUCGCAAUCGGAAUGGGUACACUUUAAAUCCUUAANCGNGA